GACAAGCCAGGGCAAACGGUGAACAGAUCACCAGGUGGAAUCCAAGCAGCAAUGCAGUAGGCAACGGGAGUAGGUGUCACAGCCACUUGGGAGAAGAUUUUAUUUCUGGAGGCAGAUUUCUUGUAGAAAAUGCUAGUCUCUGAACAGCGGGAGUGGGCUUCAAAGGCCUCUGGAUUUUGGUCAGGUAGCCUGUUAGACUCCUGCCAUUUGUUGAGAUCAAAGGCUUCGACACCUCUCACGUCACACCUCAGUGCUAAUUGAAGUUGUAUCUGGUCUGUCUCAGUUCCAGGUUGGAUGGUGUCCUCAGGUCUCUGCUGUUUGUUUGCCAGAGCACCCUCUAUAUAGCUUGGAAAAAGGAAUCCUUGUUAACAGUAACCCCUCAAGGACCUGAGCCCUGGGACCAUGCCUCAGGACUACCUGGCCUGAUGACCUUGCUGUCCCCAGUCCACCUGGUCGUACUGCUGCUCCAGUUUCAACUGUUCUGCCUGCGGCUAUGGAACCCUGACCUUGUCCCGGACCUGCUGUUUUCGACUCUCUCUCUCUCUACCGCACCUGCUGUCUGGAACUCUGAAUGCUCGGGUGUCAUGGAACGAGUGAUCAUUGUUCCAGAGGAGGGAUUGUUGGAGAUUGACUUUAGAAGUGACUAAUGUGUUAUGGGUAAGAUGGAAUGACUUAUGUGCGAAUGUAUUUGUGGCCGGAGGCAAGGUAUUGGAGACAGGAUGUUUGCAUAAGGGUGUUAAUUGCAGUCUGGCAAGACCGUCAUCAGUGUAUUAUGUGGAGUCCCAAAAACCAAGGCAUUAACAUUAUAGGGAAUUGGGAGAGCGGAAUGGAAUGUGACUGAGGAGAUCUGUGUGGCUCAUAAAUUAAGGAAGGAGGUAGUAUAUCACUCCGCUGUGUAUAAUGAUAUCAGGAAAUAGCUCGUAGGAGAGGAAGGACAGCUAACUGUGCACAAUAUAGAGACUACGAAGUUAAAUUGAAAGUCACACACACCCAGAUCAUGGUGGGAGUAGCAGAGAUAGUGUGAUCAUUUCAGGCACCAUUGUCAAAUUUCAAUGAUGGGUUCGUCAAAGGUACAAUGCUUAUGGAUGCUAUAGUAACAGCAUGGAACUGGACUAUAGUGCAAAUUAGGAGAUUUUGAAGUUUUCAUCAUGGGCAGUAUUAGUAGUAGCAGGGGUUACCUUAGUGGCAUUGUUGGGAUAUCAUCUUCUGAGGGCAUUGAUGUGAAAUGUAUGUACAGUGCUGAGUUACCUCAAGAUGAGGUAAAGUUGAUUAGGGCCACCGCACGUGUAUAUCGAUCGGGUGGCCAUGGAGGAGAUUUACAUUUACAUUUAAGUCAUUUAGCAGACGCUCUUAUCCAGAGCGACUUACAAAUUGGUGCAUUCACCUUAUGAUAUCCAGUGGAACAACCACUUUACAAUAGUGC
This 1423-nucleotide long non-coding RNA is filed under the name Salmo salar (Atlantic salmon). Its description in RNAcentral is "lncRNA (ENSSSAG00000091223.1, ENSSSAG00000114812.1)". The record is from RNAcentral. Lineage: Eukaryota; Metazoa; Chordata; Actinopteri; Salmoniformes; Salmonidae.